RNAcentral lists this ribosomal RNA (868 nucleotides) under bacterium MS-AsIII-45. RNAcentral's name for it is "bacterial SSU rRNA". It matches the Rfam family "Bacterial small subunit ribosomal RNA", at positions 29 to 886 of the family's 1533-position model. The record is from RNAcentral.
AUGAACGCUGGCGGCGUGCUUAACACAUGCAAGUCGAACGAUGAAGCCCAGCUUGCUGGGUGGAUUAGUGGCGAACGGGUGAGUAACACGUGAGUAACCUGCCCUUAACUCUGGGAUAAGCCUGGGAAACUGGGUCUAAUACCGGAUAGGAGCGUCCACCGCAUGGUGGGUGUUGGAAAGAUUUAUCGGUUUUGGAUGGACUCGCGGCCUAUCAGCUUGUUGGUGAGGUAAUGGCUCACCAAGGCGACGACGGGUAGCCGGCCUGAGAGGGUGACCGGCCACACUGGGACUGAGACACGGCCCAGACUCCUACGGGAGGCAGCAGUGGGGAGUAUUGCACAAUGGGCGCAAGCCUGAUGCAGCGACGCCGCGUGAGGGAUGACGGCCUUCGGGUUGUAAACCUCUUUCAGUAGGGAAAGAAGCGAAAGUGACGGUACCUGGCAGAAGAAGCCACCGGGCUAACUACGUGCCAGCAGCCCGGCGGGUAAUACUUAGGGUCGCGAACGUUAUCCGGAAUUAUUGGGGCGUAAAGAGCUCGUAGGCGGGUUUGUUCGCGUUCCUGUCGUGAAAAAUCCGGGGCUUAAACCCCCGGGAUCUGCCGGUGGGUACGGGCCAGAACUAGAGUGCAGUAGGGGAGACUGGAAUUCCUGGUGUAGCCGGUGGAAUGCGCAGAUAUCAGGAGGAACACCGAUGGCGAAGGCAGGUCUCUGGGCUGUAACUGACGCUGAGGAGCGAAAGCAUGGGGAGCGAACAGGAUUAGAUACCCUGGUAGUCCAUGCCGUAAACGUUGGGCACUAGGUGUGGGGACCAUUACACGGUUUCCGCGCCGGCAGCUAACGCAUUAAGUGCCCCGCCUGGGGAGUACGGC